UGGGGAAUAUUGGACAAUGGGCGAAAGCCUGAUCCAGCCAUGCCGCGUGUGUGAAGAAGGUCUUCGGAUUGUAAAGCACUUUAAGUUGGGAGGAAGGGCAGUAAGCGAAUACCUUGCUGUUUUGACGUUACCGACAGAAUAAGCACCGGCUAACUCUGUGCCAGCAGCCGCGGUAAUACAGAGGGUGCAAGCGUUAAUCGGAAUUACUGGGCGUAAAGCGCGCGUAGGUGGUUCGUUAAGUUGAAUGUGAAAGCCCCGGGCUCAACCUGGGAACUGCAUCCAAAACAGGCGAGCUAGAGUAGGGCAGAGGGUGGUGGAAUUUCCUGUGUAGCGGUGAAAUGCGUAGAUAUAGGAAGGAACACCAGUGGCGAAGGCGACCGCCUGGGCUCAUACUGACACUGAGGUGCGAAAGCGUGGGGAGCAAACAGG
This 429-nucleotide ribosomal RNA is filed under the name Pseudomonadota bacterium. RNAcentral describes it as "Proteobacteria bacterium partial 16S ribosomal RNA". It matches the Rfam family "Bacterial small subunit ribosomal RNA", at positions 355 to 776 of the family's 1533-position model. Lineage: Bacteria; Pseudomonadati; Pseudomonadota. The record is from RNAcentral.